RNAcentral lists this ribosomal RNA (253 nucleotides) under uncultured bacterium. RNAcentral describes it as "partial 16S ribosomal RNA". It matches the Rfam family "Bacterial small subunit ribosomal RNA", at positions 524 to 776 of the family's 1533-position model. The record is from RNAcentral.
UACGAAAGGGGCUAGCGUUGUUCGGAAUUACUGGGCGUAAAGCGCACGUAGGCGGCUUGGCAAGUUGGGGGUGAAAUCCCCGGGCUCAACCCGGGAACUGCCUUCAAAACUGCUUGGCUAGAGGAUGCGAGAGGUUGGCGGAAUUCCGAGUGUAGAGAUGAAAUUCGUAGAUAUUCGGAAGAACACCAGUGGCGAAGGCGGCCAACUGGCGCAUGUCUGACGCUGAGGUGCGAAAGCGUGGGGAGCAAACAGG